Odontomachus brunneus is the source of this 2027-nucleotide long non-coding RNA. RefSeq lists it as uncharacterized. The record is from RefSeq and is a predicted model, not a curated record. The transcript has 4 exons. NCBI's taxonomy places the organism in Eukaryota, Metazoa, Arthropoda, Insecta, Hymenoptera, Formicidae.
UUGAAUGACCAGUUUCAGCUGCGGAUCACCCUUCAAUCUAGUCCCGCAUCCCCAGUUACCGGUAGCUACUGGUAGCAAUCCUCCGCCCUGAGGACUGUUCUCGCGCGGCAACUACGCACAGUUUCGCAUGGACUCCCGCGUAUUCGUCGCAACCACGAAGAGAGGACGACUUCCAGUGGCGUUCCAGUGCGGCGGUUAUAUUGAGAAGAACGAAGAAGCUAGAAAUAUGAGUGCGGAGAGAAAAUUGGAUAGAUUGAGAGACAAACAGAUAUAUUCGUUUAUAAAUAUGAUUAGUCGCGAGGAUCUUGAAACAUGUCAGAUGAAAGAGAGCUCUGCUCGUCCGGCAUGCAUCGAGUCGAAGAAAGGAGGAAAGAGUCACGGAGAGACUCGCGAAACAAUUCUCAAGUCUCGACGAGCACGUUCACAUUCGAGAGACGGAGGCAUUUCAGGAAACAUUUCGGACACGGUGCACUUCCAAUUUUUUCCCUCUCUCUCUCUCUCUCUCUCUCUCUCUUCUCCCCAAUCUCUCAAACACAGACGAUUCAACAGAGAAAGAAGAGAACAGGAAAACACAGUCACCGCCUCAUGCGAUUACACGCGAUAUACGGGUCAAGUCCAGAAUCACCUCGGCACCGGCCGGAACGCAUUUUGCGCUCGCCGUUCGGCUCGAGGCGCCGACGGGGCUCGAUGCCUUCGCCGCCGGCGUGCAGGACAGGUAUACGGUGGUCUGAUCAUCAACCAACGUUUGGAACACUUCCGACGUGAACGUAACGGCCCAAAGUUUCCUACGUUGGGAGUCCUUCGCCUCUCUUACCAUCUCGCACGAGGCGUCCUCGUAGCGAUCUACACCUUCCGAUUCAGACACCUGUAUAGCAUAUCGUCUUGCCUAUAGUCGAAAUUCAGAAUCUCGGCAUUUCGUUCGCCGAAUAGUCCGCGUUAGAUUAGUCUUGCUUUGACGCGAAUCAACUCGUGGACUGUCUCUCAUUCCACCUUAAUGUGCGCUACGAGGCAUUCAAGGACUGUCGUACGUUCUCACGGUUAUGAGCGUUUGUGAUCUUUAAUCAGCGAGUAAAGUGUAAGUAAACAUGACAAACUUGCUUAUCUAGUUCUUCUUUGGCUCCAGAAAAGGACACUAAUUUAAAACAAAAAAGAAAGUACCACUCGCUCAUCAUCAUAUUUCGUCGCUUUCUAUCAUAUUUCAAAAGAUAUACAUUUAAUUACAGUUUAUUACUAAGCAAUUAGAUGCAUCAGUAACCCUCUUCAGGUUCAGUUUGCCGAUGUCUUUUUCCAGAGCCAGAAGAUUAACCGUUGAGCAAAUCGUUUCGCAAAAUAUAUUGGAUCUCCUUUUAAUUCAGCCAUUCUGUUGCAGGCACGCCGUAAGCUGAUGUUUCCAUAAGAAUCUACUGUGCCUUACUGAUUGCUGCCUUCGGUUCUUUUGACGAGCGAGCUCCAAGCUGAGGCUCCUCACGGCCAACGCCAGUUUGUGCCGUUGGUUCACGUCGUUCGAGUCGAUAAAUGGCUGAGGCUCUCCUUCCUGGACCGGCACACCGGCGAACGACUCGCUCAGAGCGCGCUUCAGAAGCGAACCGGCGAAUCUCACCACCGCCCGAUCCCUCGCAUCUAGCUCCCGGCUCUCGUCCGCCACUAUCGGGUCUUCCAGCCACUUGGACAGCUGUUCGUAGACUUCUUCCAGCUCAGAACAGAAAUCUGCAAGAUUUGUCCACGUGGCUGCCGCUGACACUGAUGCCAACAGCAUAACUGCUCUCUCCGGACGAGGUGUUGGAAGAAGUUGCGCCGGUCGCCGUGCUCUCCCGCUUUAAGGCGUCCUUCAGUCGCUGCGCGAAGGUUCCCCGUCUCUCAGGCGUGUCCAGUUGUGCGCUUGUAAAACACGCGUGUGCCGCACCGGGUUCCUCGUCGAUGGUCUCUUUGGCACUGUGGAAGCUGUCAGUGCUCUGGCUGUUGCAGCUGCUGUAGACCGACAUCUGGCCGAGGGAUUUGCGCGUCACCGGCAGUACCUCGCCGCUCGA